GGUGAGUAACACGUGGAUAACCUACCUAUAAGACUGGGAUAACUUCGGGAAACCGGAGCUAAUACCGGAUAAUAUUUUGAACCGCAUGGUUCAAGAGUGAAAGACGGUCUUGCUGUCACUUAUAGAUGGAUCCGCGCUGCAUUAGCUAGUUGGUAAGGUAACGGCUUACCAAGGCAACGAUGCAUAGCCGACCUGAGAGGGUGAUCAGCCACACUGGAACUGAGACACGGUCCAG
Molecule: ribosomal RNA, 235 nt
Filed under: uncultured Staphylococcus sp.
Lineage: Bacteria; Bacillati; Bacillota; Bacilli; Caryophanales; Staphylococcaceae
Description: partial 16S ribosomal RNA
Rfam family: Bacterial small subunit ribosomal RNA
Source: RNAcentral